This 253-nucleotide ribosomal RNA is filed under the name uncultured bacterium. RNAcentral describes it as "partial 16S ribosomal RNA". It matches the Rfam family "Bacterial small subunit ribosomal RNA", at positions 524 to 776 of the family's 1533-position model. The record is from RNAcentral.
UACGUAGGUGGCAAGCGUUGUCCGGAUUUACUGGGCGUAAAGAGCGCGCAGGCGGUCGGAUAAGUCGAGUGUGAAAGCCCCUGGCUCAACCAGGGAGGGUCACUCGAUACUGUUCGACUCGAAGGCAGGAGAGGGAAGUGGAAUUCCGGGUGUAGUGGUGAAAUGCGUAGAUAUCCGGAGGAACACCAGUGGCGAAGGCGACUUUCUGGCCUGUUCUUGACGCUGAGGCGCGAAAGCUAGGGUAGCAAACGGG